CCUGGUUCUCUUGCUUCUCACGGGAUCCGUUGGUGGAGUGGCUGAAUGAGUGUUUAAUGUUAAUGUUUUAUAUGUUUGUGUGUAUGUGUGUGUGUGUGUCUGUAUGUACAUUUAUGUGUGCAUGUUGAACUGUAGUUUCAGACUAUAGUCCUGAAAAAUUCUAGAACACUUUGAGCUUUAUGGAUUGUUAGACUAUGCAAGAAAUUAUCUGUGUGAGUUGUGUUUGGGUUAGGUAUUAAAAAUAUAUAUUGCUAGAGGUGUUUGUUGGAGGAAGUUUUAUACAAUGGAAAAACAUGCCCUACCAUGCGGAUACAUACUGUACACAAAAAGAUGAUCAAUCCAGAUCUUCGCUAAUACAAAGAAAAUAUGACCCAUAGCACUUGACUCUGUAGGUCAGAAAUUGAAACAGAUAUUCCCAUAAAACUCUGGAGAAUGAUGAAGGCCUCGGGGAAGCAAGUCUACACUGUUUCUCUUUCCAGUGCUUUCUCGAAUAAGUGUAAAACAUUAGUGAGGCUUCAUCUGAAGGUCAGAAAGUUUACACAGUUGGAGUUAUAUGAGUAUCAGGCUUUCUGAAUUAAGAUUCAGAAUUCAUAUCUAAAAUUUGAGGCUGUGCACUGUUCCACAUGACUGAUUUUUUUUCUGAUACAUAAGAUAUUAUUUUCCAGUAUAAUUAAUGUCAAUCUACUGACAUCAGUGAAAUGCACAUGAAAUUCUAAAUGAAUGUGCCAUUAGAUGUAACUCUUAGUUGUUACCUAAAGUCAGGGAGCAACACCAAAAACAGAAAUAACCUUCCUUUAUACCAGGAACUGUCAAUACAGCAUAUUUUUAACAUGAUGAGCUGUAGAGGGAAAAUAUUCGUGUAUUCUUCAAGAUCAAAUGUUCAUAAAUCUGGAGACCAAGAAUUAUUCACAUUUUGAGUUUUUGUAGAAUUCUGCUAAGUAAGGUAUUAGAGUACUCCAUGAUCACUCAGCAAACUAGUACUGGUAUUGAUUUCUAAUUUUGUCCAAUUUCCUUUAAAACUUUCUCUUUGAUAUUUUUGUAGCUCUAGCACCCUUGAACACAUGAUUGAGGUAGUUUUGGCCUCACAGAUGGAACAGCUUGAUGCUUGCUCAAAAAGUGGACUCUUUAGUAUGGUUAUUUGGAUGAUGGUUUUGAUUCGGAGAGUCAAAAGCCAUGGUAUGUGAGGGGAGUGCAUUCUUCAUGAAGAGAGGCCAUCUUCUGCAUUCUCCUUCCUGUGGCUGAAGAGUGGGGCACUCAACUUGUUGCUUUCUGUCAAGGCUACAAGCCAGGAUACUACACUUAAUUGACAUAUCUUCUUAAACGCCUCUGAUUUGUGACGGUUUCUCAGUCUUUCCUGCUUUUCAUGACCUUGAUGCCUUUGAAGAGAAGUGAAGUGAGAUCUCACUACGUUGCCCAGGCUGGUCUUGAACUCCUAACCUCAAGUGAUCCUCCCAUCUCAGCAUCCCAAAGUGUUGGGAUUACAGGUACGAACCACUGCGCCUGGCCAAUAAGUUCUUUAAGCAUGCUCUCGAAAGUGUGUUUUGGGAUCUCCAGUGGCUAUUUAAAUAUUUGUGCUUGGCUUGACAUCUUUUGAACACUAAUGUUGCAUUAGAGGAAUUUGGUACAUUAGACGUCCUGCCUACACAAGCUAGAAGCCCUUCUUUUCAUAAUGUCCUUCAAAACAGAUUUUAGAAAAAGGUCCAAGGCUCUUUCAAUUAGACAAAUGCACAUAAGAGUCUGAUUCAGGUGACAGUGAUGUGAGAAAAAGGAUGCUGGGUAGAAUUUAUCUGGGAAGAUACAAGUUAUGAUGAAGAGAGGUCUGGCUGUCAGAGCAUCCUAUGGCUGGAGCUGGCUUUGGGAGUCCCAGGGUUUGAGCUUGGAGGUGGCUGCUGGAAGGUCUCCACUGGAGUAGCCUGCAGUCUAAUCUAGGAACUGGAAUCUCUAGUCUUAAAAAGUCUUGAGUCCUUGCAGAGGCUCAGUGAGCUGCCUCUAUCCAUAUAUAUAUAUAUAUGACAUUAUAUAUAGCUAAAGUGGAUAUUCUUGUAAAACCAGCACUAAGAGAUAACCAAACUUUCAAACACUGACUUUCAAUUCUUAUUUUGAUAUCCCAUGUAGCUGUUAAUAGAAAGAAGCAUAGCAGAUGUUUUCCCUUAUAUGCCAACCAUUGCUUUAAUCUAUUUUCUACUCUCCUUGUUUAAUCAUCAACCAUUACCUUUCAUAUGGUGGAUACUCAAUAAAUACUGAAUAUAUAAACUCUCUUAUUCAAACCUUAUGAUAUAAAGCAAAUUAUCUGUGUCAAGUGCUUGAGGGCAAAGCAGCAUUAAAUUUAUCAUAAGUAGAAAAUAUUGCCUUAGAACUUAGUGGACUGAAAGUGCCUUGAGGGAGGAAGUAGAACAAUCAGAUGAGAAGAGAGAAGGUAGGUAAUAGGAAAGAGGAAAUAAUAAGAAAAACUUGUUUAUGAUCCACAAAUUCUCCUUUAGUUAUGAACAAAAGGAAAAAAUGCUUUUUCAUAAGCAAUCGAAAAAUAAAUGUUGCCAUUUAAAUCAUUUCUGUGAAAGCAAAGAUGUCAUUUAAAAUUUAAUAACACUUGUCCAGAAUAUUGUUUUAUUAUUUUUACAAUAAAGUAUGGAAAAUGUAAUAACAAAGGAUAAAGUAAUAAAUCAAGUUGCCAGCAUGAUAAAAAAAUUAUUAGAGCGAUAUCAAAUUUAACUGGACUCUCAUUUAAUGGGGUGAUAGAAAGCUAAUAAAAAUAGUUUUGAGGCAACAGGCAAUACGUGACUCCAACUCACACAACUUUAAUAGUCAGGAAGAAGGGGUCUGGUUACACAAAAUAAUAAUAUGUGUCAUUUUCCGCAACUAAAAUUUCAUUGUCUGAGACUUGUUUGGGAUUGUGCUCUAAUUUAGUAACGCUUAUUUUAAUUGUAUUUUUGCAAUGAAGUAGACUUCACUUUCUGUCAAGUGUCAUCAAUUCAGUUUUCAAAGCUGUAUGUCUCCACACACACCUACCUAUACUAGUACUAGUAAUAAUAAAAUAAGAAUUCUUCAGAAUGAGAGAAUAACUGGGUCAGAAUGUUAUUCUGUUGAAACUGCAUCAUUUUCCUACACAAGUGAAAAUCAGCAAGGUAUUGUGACAUACAAGUGCCAAUAUAUUGAAGGUAUAGAAUCAAAUACUUUUAGAGGUUCAAUGCACUUUAAAGGUCAUCCCCAAUUUUCUACUCCCUUAGGAAUCUUUUCAAUAACAUCUCUGGCAGAUGACUGUAUAACUGUAGUGGUAGUAUUAAGUAUCCAUUUGUUUACUUAACAAAAUAAUUAUUGGUCUUUUUGCAUGCUACAGACAUCAUGCUAGGAGGGUGUUUGCUAGAUAUCAUAUGCCACAUGUUGUGGAGGCCUAUCUUUAGAAUGUUCUUCCCACUCUACAGUGGGGUAAAAUUCAAACUUUAUGACCCAUCAACAGCCAUGCAUUUUUUAAAAUUAAUCAUUUAGUUAAAAUUUCUAUGUAUAUUACGCUUCAUGAUCCAAAUAACUAAAUUUAAUUGUUAGGUAGAGAAAUUCUUAUAGUUCCAUUUAAUUACACUUUUUUAUCAGAAUAGUAAUCUUUAUUAAAAUAUCAAGGCUUAUCAAUGUAAAGAACACCAGGUCAGGCAUGGUGGCUCAUGCCUGUAAUCCCAGUACUUUGGGAAGCCAAGGCAGGUGGAUCAAUUGAGCCAAGGAGCUCAAGGUUGCAGUGAGGUAUGAUCUUGACACUGCACUCCAGAUUGGGCAAAAUAAAUAAAUAGAUACAUUUUUAAAAAAAAAUUUAAAAACCCAUUUAAGAGAGGAUAUAUACUGAGCAAAGUAAAUAUCUAGGGUACACUUUAUCUUCGUAUUCUUAACUGUUUUUUAACAAUGUGCUGUAAUUCCCAAUCAUGUUUCACGAAGAGAUUUCCCUCUUCUAUAGGUUAAUCAAAAUAUAACAUAUUUUCUUAACUUUGAAUUACAAGUCUCUCUUGAAUUUAAAACUGAUGCAGAGCUUAUGCAACUCCUUUGCCUUCUGCCAUGAUUAUGAUGCCUACCCAGCCAUGCUGAACUGUGAGUCCAUUAAACCUCUUUCCUAUAUAAAUUACCCAGUCUUGAGUAUGUCUUUAUUUGCAGUGUGACAACAGGCUAGUGCAAUAUAUGCAAAGUUUCUGGCACAUAUAAAAUUAAAAGUAUCAAGGCAUGGAACACUGUGGAUAGUAUAUAAAUGUGUUUUUAAAAGCCCUUAAUUUUUAAUGGACCUAAAUUUUCUGAAAGAAUACUAGGCGGAAGGGAAGAUUACACACAUGUACACAAACACACUAUGAAAUGUUUAAAAUUUAAAAUUUCUCUAAAGGGUUAUCAUUUAAAGCAAAAAAGGAACAAUAUUGUAUUGUAGCAUUAAAAACAUAUUUAGAAGACGUAAGAAGAGCACAAAGGACAGGAAAAUGUUAAAUGGGAUUACGCUGUUGCAAAUUUUACACAUUGUUUCACUGUAGAUAAGCAAAAUAUGCAUACAGUAAUCUCUAGGGAAGUCAAAGAGAGAAAUGUUAUAAAAAGGGUAUCUCAAGAAUUUGUAAAGGAAAUACAAAUAAAAUACUAGAAAAACAUAUUACUCAUCAAAAAAGGGCAGAUAAAGAUCUGCAGAACAAAAUAUAUAUUAGUAUUUGGAACAAAUAUCAAUACUUAGAAUAAAUGGAAAGAAAAGAAACACUCCAAUUAAAAGACUUUGAUUAUAAGACUGAAUUAAAAAAACAAGGUCUGCCUAUAUGCCAUCUAAAAGGAAUAUUAAAUAAAAAAGACAAAGACUGCGUUAAAAUAAGAGCUUGAGGAAACUUCACUUUGAGAACCCUAAGCAUAAGAAAGUAGAAGUAAGUAUAUUAACAUCAAAGUCUAGUGUACUUCAUGACCAAAAAUAUUGUCAAAAAUCUGUGUGCUCACAAUAAUAGACUUUCAAAAUACAAAAGCAAAAUUAAUAAACGUAAAAGAAAAAUUAAAAUGCCCAAACAACUGGAAAUAUUAACACUACCCUCUCAAAAAUGGAUAGGACUCAUAAAAAUCAAUGCAGACAUGAUAUUUUUGAACAGCUAUAAAUCUUAAUUGACAUUGAUAGAACACUACAUCUAACAGUUGAAGAAUAUAUAUUAUUUUCGAGUGUGCAUUAAACAUUCACCAAAAUAGACAAAAUGCUUUGUCAUAAAACAUAAGAUCAAAGAAUCAAAAUAAUACAGAGUAUAUUCUCUGAGCACAACAACAUUGAUUUAGAAAUCAGUAGAAAAGACAUAUACUCUGAGUAUCUGUAAUAAUCCAUGGCUCAAUGAAGAAAUCUAAAGAAAAAUUAGAAGAUCUUUUUAGUGUUCUGCUAAAAUGGUGUUUAGAGUAAAAUUUUUAGAUUUAAGUGCCUGUAGUAGAAAGGAAAAUGCCUGGGUAGAAAAGCAGUGAUCUAAAUAUCCACCAUAAGAAGGUAGAAAUGUGUGAAUUUUUUUAAGCAGGUAGAAAAAUAAUAAUAAACAAUAAGAUCUCAUCAUACUGUACCCCAUAACAUGCCCAAUUAGUAUAUGUCAAUGAAAACUAAAAUACACAUAAAAAAGAACAAAAUCAAUCUAUAGGUCAAUGAUGAAGAAAAAUAACGAACAAAAUUAAUGCUAAGGCCAAUAAUGAAGAAACAUUUUUUUAAAUGGAAUAUUGGUUCCUGAAAAAGAUUGAUAAACUUCUAGAGAAACUGAUCAAAGUUAAAGAGAAAGAGAAAAAAAACUAGCAAGAAAAUACAAAAUGACAAUAUCUAGAAUUAAAGAAAUGGGUAUAAUUAGAAAGCUUUCUUAUAUUAAAAUGGUGAUAAGGAGUAUAAACCACUUAGUGUCAAAAAUUAGAAAAUUUGGAUAAAAUAUUGAAAACAAAUCUCAGGACCAAGGCUUUAUCUCUAUUCCUUCUGAAACAUUAGUGAGCUCAAAAAUCACUCUGAGGUUCUUGUUAAAAUGCAGAUUUUUAUUCAGAGUUCUAGAGUGAGACUCAAGAUGGUGCAUUUGUAACAAACUCCCAUUUGAUACUGAUGCUGAUAAAGUAACUAUACUAUAUGAGAAGAGAUAUCCACUAUGCUCUUACAAUCCUUUUGUGUAUUGAAUGAAUUUGUAAGCAUAAAGGACAGUUUGCUUUGAUCUGGAAUCCAGGGAAGGAGCACCAAAGACAUGGGAUAUUGACUUUAUAAGUAUUUGAAUGGUCACCAGGUUGUAACAGGCACCUGGGUACAAGGAGAAGAAUCUACGUAUUACUUGGAGAGAAAUGAAAAUAAAAUUCUAAAAACACGUAAACAAAAAAUCCACAAAAUACACUACUUCACAAGCUUCAUGCAUCCUUCUUGAACUGGAUCCUACUGAUUCCAAGCCAGAAGGGUGAAGAUACCUAAGCUAGAAGAGAAGCUAUGAUAUAACUUUGAUAAUGGGUAUAAUGGAAACCUGUACCUCUUUUUGUUUUUUCUCCCUUUUAAUAAUGGAGGUAAAUUUUCAAAAAAAAUACUAAAAAUAGCAAAAAUAAUACAAUUAAGUAAAGAUCACAUUUAAAAGGGCCCUUGAUUUGCGGGAAAAAAAUCAAGUGUAAAAUUUUUCUUGCUAUAAUAAUCUUUUAGGCUAUGUCAUUUUAGUGAAAAAAUGUAAUUUGACAACGUUAAAAGAGAGUCACUAGUCUUCAAAAAUAGUUAAUCUUCAAAAUUACAACUAAGGUACUUUUCUCAUUUAAAAGCUGCACAGUCAAUACAAAGUGUGUUUUGCCUCAUAUUAACACUGUGUGUCUCUAAAGCUCAGCAUAAAGCAUGUACAGAUCAAACUAUUUUCUCUUUGAUUUAUAUUUUUAUUUCAGUAAUAUUUUGCAUUCUAUUCUGAUUAAUUGUAAAUAAGCACCGACAUCUAAGUUAGGAUAAUGUUGCUUGAAAAACCUUAGAAAUUUACUAAGAUAAAAUAGCAGACAAAAAGUAACCAAUUAUAUCACAGAGCAUCAUAAAAUAGCUACUUGGCUUUUGCAGCAUGCUAAUUUCUUGGACAGUGGAUUUAAUUCAGAGUGUGGUCUGAGGACUGAAGUUCCAGAAAAUCACCUUUAUAAGCAGACUCCAAAUUAAUCAGGCCCUCAAUUUUGUAGGAUAUGUGUGCACAAAGCAGAAUAUUAAAACAUAGAGAUGGUAGAUGUUUUUUCCUCCUGAAUGUAUUUCACUGUCUGAUGUGGCACAUGCCUUUCCUGGAAUCAUGAUUUCUAAGAACCUGAAUUCAGAGCCUUAAGAUGACUUACUGCAUGAACUCAGAGCACAGGAAACUGGGCUAAAGGGUAUGUUAGGCCAUGGAAAAUCCUGGUGAUGUCUGUCAUCACAGGAUGUGCCUGUGUAGUGAUUAGAGGGCUGUGUAGUAAAGUUUGCAUUACCCUAAUCUGGUGUCUCUACCUAUAGACUUUGUUAGAUAAACACUGAUGAUUCUUCCACUGCCUUUGCUUCAUGUUGCUGAUCUCCACGCAGACCAAGCACCUUCCUCCUGUUCACUCAUUUUUUUCUUCAGGCACUGUGGUAGGCAGAAAAGAAAUGGCCCCUAAAGAUGCCCACAUCCUCUCUCCUGGAACCUGAAAAUAUGCAAUGCUCAGUAGCAAAGGGAAGGUAAAGUCACAGAUGGAAUUAAGGUUGCUAAUUAACCAACUUUAAGAUAAGGACUAUUCUAGAUUCUAGGUUAUCCAAGUAGGAUGAAUGUGAUCACAAGGGUUCUUAAAUGUGGAAAGGGGAGGCAGAAGAGUUAGUCUCAGAGUGAGGCAGUAUGAGGUGACUAGACUGGCCAUCACUGGCUUUGGAGGUGGUAGGGGACCAGGAGCCUAGAAAUGCUAGCAGCUUCAAGAAGCUGAAAAAGGCGAGUAAAUGAAUCCAUCCCUCGAACCUCCAGAAAGAAAUCUGCCCUGCUAACACCUCAGUUUUAGUCUAGUGAGACCCAUUUCAGACUUUUGACACUGAGAACUGUGAGAUAACAAAUUUGUGUUGUUUCAAGCUGCCCAACUUGGGGUCACUUGUUACAGCAGCCAAUAGCAUGGGCAUAUUAUUAUGUCCUGUUGCUUUACUUUUGUCUUAGGAAAUAUCUUGUAUUUUAAAGGGGUUUUUACCACUGAGAAUUUCAUCCAGUGUGAGUUGUCUAUAAUGAAGACCAACUUAUUGAUGACUUACCUUACUGUAGUUUUCUAUAUAUUGACAACAAAAGCAUGGGAUAUGGAGUAAAAUAGUUGGAGUUCCAACUCUGGUUUUUCACUUGAUGGUUCUGAGUUCUCUAAUCAAUUUGUUUUAAAGACUAUCAAUUUCCUAAACCACUAUGUUUACUCAGCUGUACGUAACUGACCUGACACAUAGGAUGUUUUGAAGUUCAAAUUGGAGAAUGAUACAUAAUUAAGAUAAUCAACUUGUUUUCUUAAUUUACAAUGAUAGACAUUAAGACUGAAAGGGAAUACUAUUUAGAAGCUGACUAGCUUAGCAGGAGAUAUUUGCCCUAUACCACUGUUUUUAAAACUCUGCCACUAGGCCGGUUGCGGUGGCUCUCGCCUGUAAUCCCAGCACUUUGGGAGGCCGAGGCAGUCGGAUCAAGAAGUCAGGAGAUCGAGACCAUCCUGGCUAACAUGGUGGAACCCCGUCUCUAUUAAAAAUACAAAAAAUUAGCCGGGCAUGGUGGCUGGCGCCUGUAGUCCCAGCUACUCAGGAGGCUGAGGCAGGAGAAUCUCUUGAACCCAGGAGGCAGAGGUUGCAGUGAGCUGAGAUCGCACCACUGUACUCCAGCCUGGGUAGCAGAAUGAGACUCCAUCAAAAAAAAAAAAAAAAGCCCUCUGCCAUUAAUUUUGGUGGGAAGCUUGGUUGAGAUAGGCAAAGGUUGAAGGAAGGGAGAGGUUGGGUGGUGAACUAAUUUACUCCUUACCCACACUCGAUUUAAACCAAAGCAAUACCAAUCUGUGUAAAAUAGAAUUUGAAGUAAAGGGAGAGGGUUCAAAAAAGUUGAGAACGCUUGCACCGUAUUAUGUGCAAAUGCCAGGUCCAUGUAACCUUGAAUAGUUCCUCUGGCCUGUCUAUGUGAACAUUUGGAGAUGCACAGUUCCUAUAAGCAGGUGCAUAGAAACAGAAGGGUACAUAUUUGCAUAUAGGAUUAAAAGAAAUGACUUCCGUAAAACGUCUAGCACAGAGCUACAGAGUGUAUUUUUAAUACAUUACAGUUCUUGAGUAAAGAUGAUUAUUUGAUAACACUAAGUGAUAUGAAGCCAAGAAAUGUAGUAGUGUUCGAAUCCUUUCCACCUCCCUUACUCUUGGGUUCUGACUUUAGAAACUAAGUAAUUCCAGGACAUAAGUGAAAACACAUUUCAACUGCCCUCUAUUAUACUUACUUGGUAAAUUAGCCUGCGCAUUAUUUUUAAAAUAAAUUUUGUUCUAUUGCUAAAAUGCCUUCUCUAGAAAGUUUCUGUCUGUUGAAUUCAUUAUUUAAAAUUGAAUCUUACUGCUUUGGGUAAAUAUCAGUAUGUUUACUAUAUAUUUGCAUUGUGCUGGCAUUAGGUAAGCAUUCAUACAGUGUUCCUUCUUAUGAAGAGUGACAUAUUUUAUAAGAGUGGAAAACCAUGGAAAUGAAUUCUCAUAGUUUAAUAAAAUAUAUCCAGUGUCUGUCUUGCAAAAUAUUGUAAUACCAUAUAGUUAAUAAUAUAAUAAUUAAUAUUCUUAAACAUUUCCAAAAGACCAAGUAUACUAUGAAAAAAUUUUUUUUAAAAGAAGACAUUUGGCCGGGCGCGGUGGCUCACGCCUGUAAUCCCAGCACUUUG
RNAcentral lists this long non-coding RNA (9798 nucleotides) under Homo sapiens (human). Its description in RNAcentral is "HSALNT0030592". The record is from RNAcentral. Lineage: Eukaryota; Metazoa; Chordata; Mammalia; Primates; Hominidae.